This 69-nucleotide transfer RNA is filed under the name Rattus norvegicus (Norway rat). It matches the Rfam family "tRNA". From Rfam's summary of the family: Transfer RNA (tRNA) molecules are approximately 80 nucleotides in length. Their secondary structure includes four short double-helical elements and three loops (D, anti-codon, and T loops). Further hydrogen bonds mediate the characteristic L-shaped molecular structure. tRNAs have two regions of fundamental functional importance: the anti-codon, which is responsible for specific mRNA codon recognition, and the 3' end, to which the tRNAs corresponding amino acid is attached (by aminoacyl-tRNA synthetases). tRNAs cope with the degeneracy of the genetic code in two manners: having more than one tRNA (with a specific anti-codon) for a particular amino acid; and 'wobble' base-pairing, i.e. permitting non-standard base-pairing at the 3rd anti-codon position. Lineage: Eukaryota; Metazoa; Chordata; Mammalia; Rodentia; Muridae. The record is from Rfam by way of RNAcentral.
GGGGAUUUAGCUAAGUGGUAGAGCGCUUGCCUAGCAAGCGCAAGGCCCUGGGUUCGGUUCCCAGCUCCA